RNAcentral lists this ribosomal RNA (441 nucleotides) under uncultured bacterium. Its description in RNAcentral is "partial 16S ribosomal RNA". It matches the Rfam family "Bacterial small subunit ribosomal RNA", at positions 338 to 795 of the family's 1533-position model. The record is from RNAcentral.
CCUACGGGAGGCAGCAGUGGGGAAUAUUGCACAAUGGGGGAAACCCUGAUGCAGCGACGCCGCGUGAGUGAAGAAGUAUUACGGUAUGUAAAGCUCCAUCAGCAGGGAAGAAGAAAGACGGUACCUGACUAAGAAGCCCCGGCUAACUACGUGCCAGCAGCCUCGGUAAUACGUAGGGGGCAAGCGUUAUCCGGAUUUGCUGGGUGUAAAGGGAGCGUAGACGGCUGUGCAAGUCUGAAGGGAAAACCCAGGGCUCAAACCUGGGACAGCCUGGGAAACUGUGGAGCUAGAGUGCUGGAGAGGUACGUGGAAUGCCUAGUGUAGCGGUGAAAUGCGUAGAUAUUAGGAGGAACCCCAGUGGCGAAGGCGGCUUACUGGACAGUAACUGACGUUGAGGCUCGAAAGCGUGGGGAGCAAACAGGAUUAGAUACCCCGGUAGUC